RNAcentral lists this ribosomal RNA (863 nucleotides) under uncultured bacterium. RNAcentral describes it as "bacterial SSU rRNA". It matches the Rfam family "Bacterial small subunit ribosomal RNA", at positions 52 to 924 of the family's 1533-position model. The record is from RNAcentral.
CACAUGCAGUCGAGCGGAGACAGUGAGUAGCUUGCUAUGAGCUGUUUUAUCGGCGGACGGGUGAGUAACGCGUGAGCAACCUUUCCCAGACAGGGGAAUAACACACCGAAAGGUGUACUAAUACCGCAUAAGACCACGGUUUCACAUGGAACUGAGGUAAAAGAUUUAUCGGUUUGGGGUGGGCUCGCGUCCGAUUAGGUAGUUGGUGAGGUAACGGCCCACCAAGCCGACGAUCGGUAGCCGACCUGAGAGGGUGAUCGGCCACAUUGGGACUGAGACACGGCCCAAACUCCUACGGGAGGCAGCAGUGGGGAAUAUUGGGCAAUGGGGGGAACCCUGACCCAGCAACGCCGCGUGGAGGAAGAAGGUUUUCGGAUCGUAAACUCCUGUCCUUGGAGACGAGUAGAAGACGGUAUCCAAGGAGGAAGCCCCGGCUAACUACGUGCCAGCAGCCGCGGUAAUACGUAGGGGGCAAGCGUUGUCCGGAAUAAUUGGGCGUAAAGGGCGCGUAGGCGGCUCGGUAAGUCUGGAGUGAAAGUCCUGCUUUUAAGGUGGGAAUUGCUUUGGAUACUGUCGGGCUUGAGUGCAGGAGAGGUUAGUGGAAUUCCCAGUGUAGCGGUGAAAUGCGUAGAGAUUGGGAGGAACACCAGUGGCGAAGGCGACUAACUGGACUGUAACUGACGCUGAGACGCGAAAGUGUGGGGAGCAAACAGGAUUAGAUACCCUGGUAGUCCACACUGUAAACGAUGAAUGCUAGGUGUAGGGGGUAUCGACCCCUUCUGUGCCGCAGUCAACACAAUAAGCAUUCCGCCUGGGGAGUACGGCCGCAAGGUUGAAACUCAGAGGAAUUGACGGGGGCCCGC